GACGAACGCUGGCGGCGUGCUUAACACAUGCAAGUCGAACGGAAAGGCCCUGCUUUUGUGGGGUGCUCGAGUGGCGAACGGGUGAGUAACACGUGAGUAACCUGCCCUUGACUUUGGGAUAACUUCAGGAAACUGGGGCUAAUACCGGAUAGGAGCUCCUGCUGCAUGGUGGGGGUUGGAAAGUUUCGGCGGUUGGGGAUGGACUCGCGGCUUAUCAGCCUGUUGGUGGGGUAGUGGCUUACCAAGGCUUUGACGGGUAGCCGGCCUGAGAGGGUGACCGGCCACAUUGGGACUGAGAUACGGCCCAGACUCCUACGGGAGGCAGCAGUGGGGAAUAUUGCACAAUGGGCGGAAGCCUGAUGCAGCAACGCCGCGUGCGGGAUGACGGCCUUCGGGUUGUAAACCGCUUUCGCCUGCGACGAAGCGUGAGUGACGGUAAUGGGUAAAGAAGCACCGGCUAACUACGUG
Molecule: ribosomal RNA, 468 nt
Filed under: uncultured bacterium
Lineage: Bacteria
Description: partial 16S ribosomal RNA
Rfam family: Bacterial small subunit ribosomal RNA
Source: RNAcentral